Molecule: long non-coding RNA, 1137 nt
Filed under: Gossypium raimondii (Peruvian cotton)
Lineage: Eukaryota; Viridiplantae; Streptophyta; Magnoliopsida; Malvales; Malvaceae
Description: long non-coding RNA (GRAI_LNC008637)
Source: RNAcentral
CUGGACUGGGCUGGCCUGCUUCUUGUUGGGCUGCUCUGGGCUUGGUUUGGGCCUGCUUUGUUCUUUUUUGCUAUUCUGUUUCUUUUUGCUGUUUUGUUUUUUUUUUGGGGGCGUUUUGUUUUUUUUGGGGGCUGCUGGGUGUUGGAUCGGGUCGGAUCGGUGCGGGUCGGGUCGGGUCAACCCGACUGGGUUUAAAAAUAUAUAUUUUUUCUUUUUUUUUUCUUCCUUUCUUCUCUCUUUUCUCCUUUUUUCUUCCUUUUUUCCUUCCUCUUCGGGGCUGAACUCUAGCCCAACGCCGCCGCCAACGCCUCCUCCGUCCGGUGUUGCGGUGGCCGACACGACUCCCUUCUCCUCUCUUUCUCCCUUUCUUUCUUCUCUUCUUCCUUUUUGGUUGCUAUUUUUGCUUGCUGUUUUUGUUUCUUCUUUUUGUUUUUGCUUUGUGCUUUGCUUUGUAGGUGCAACGGUGGUUAGAAGAAUGCAAGGCACGGCGGUGGGCACGGUGGUGGUGAAGGCGGUGGUUGGGAGAGCGCGACGGUGGUGAGGGCCCUUUCGUUGCUCUUUUUUGUUUGAUUUUUUUGCUGCUGUUUUCUUAGUUUUCUUUCUUUCUUUUUGCAAAAAAAAGAACCCCCCCAUUCACUCUCCAUUUCUUCCCUUUUAAUCUCUCAAAUUUGUCUUCUUUCUAAUUGUUUUCAGGUGGUAGAGGAGCCAUCAUGGCCUAGGGAGGCUGCUGGAUUAGCCCGGCUGGGGAGGGGUAGGCUCGGCAGUUGCUUGCGGCGAUUUGACAAGUCCAGAAGGACUAAAUUGCAUGGGAUGCGAAGUUUCUGGGGUAAAAGUGUAAUUUUAGCAAAAUAUGGGCCAAAAUGUAAUUUCUUGAGAGUUUAGGGGUCAAGGUGCAAUUUUGAGAAAGUAUAAGGGUCGAAAUGUAAUUUUAGAAAGUUUUGGGGCCAAAAUGUAAAUUUUAGAAAAUUUUGGGGUCAAAAUGUAAAUUUUGAAAAGUAUAAGGGUUAAAAUGCAAAAAAUAAAAAAAAUUCUUUUUUUUUUUCAAACACGAAAUUAAUCCCGGACAAAAUUCAGUGAUUACAACUAUUAUUUACAGUAGAUUUUAUUUUUUUAUUUUUUUAUAAAUCAAAAUGCAGG